RNAcentral lists this long non-coding RNA (3941 nucleotides) under Sus scrofa (pig). RNAcentral's name for it is "lncRNA (ENSSSCG00000054595.1)". Lineage: Eukaryota; Metazoa; Chordata; Mammalia; Artiodactyla; Suidae. The record is from RNAcentral.
GUCUAUCUCAGGAGAUUGGACAUAGUUCCCUGGGUUAUUCAAUAGGACCUUGCUGUUUAUCCAUUCUAAAUGUAAUAGUUUGAAUCUACUAACCCCAAACUCCCUGGUCAUCCUACUCCCUCCCACUUGGCAACCACAUCUGUUCUCUAUGUCUUUAUGUUUAUGUUUUAUAAAUAGGUUCAUCUGUGCCAUAUUUUAGAUUCCAUAUACAAAAUUAUAAGAGCAGAAUAAGGAGUUAGAUUUUAAAUGGCCUAGAAAAAACCUUAUAAAUGAUAAAAUUACUAUUUUCUAAUCUAUAUUCAUUAUACACACAAGACCAAUAUAAAUAAGUCAUCUAUAAACUUGCUAGAAAAUGUUUACUACAUAAAAUAAAUAAAUAAGCUUCAGUUUAAAAUUUUAAAAAUGUUUUCUAAAAUAUUAAUGUUUCCAUAAGAUAAAUUUUGCUCUAGCUGUGGCAGGUAAAAGGCAAAUAGUUUAUUCCAAAGGAAAAGGAAUUCAGGCUUUUUUAACAAAGUACCAACAUUAAAGUAAAGUGUUCCUGUUAGCAUUCAUAAGAUCAAUUUUCCUUAAAUGUAUAUUUGAAUAUUUGUUUUUUUCAUGUAGACUUCUGAUUUAAUUAAUGUCUUUGUUUUGGAAAUGUAACAAUUCCUGCUAAAGUCAGGGAACCAAAUAUUCUAAAAUAAAUGUUUUAUAUAUACAUGUAUCUAUUUUUUUCCCCUGAAAGCAGACAAUUAUAGUAAAAAGAUCUUUAAAAAUGGCCUUUAUCUUCUCUCUGGAUAAACCAUACUAGUUUCCAAAAAUGAAAAUAUUUGUGUUAGUGCAUGAAGUAAGAGAACAGAACAGAGGAAGACAUAUGAAUUAUAAAAUCUUAUGCCUCUACGAUUGUUCCUUUCAAAUGUAAACCUAAUUAAGCAUGCUUGUGUUUCCCAAAUGAUAAGUAUAGGCCCUCAUAUUUUUAUGUCUGUGUAUGAACACAUGCUUAUGUUUUUCUAUAUGUAAAUUCUACUCUUACUUAUAAAAACUAUAAUCAUAAACAAUUUCAAGGUCCUUGCUUUUCUAAUAUAAGAAAAUACUAGAUAAAAUUUUAGGUCAGAGUAUAUCAUUUUAAUUAAAAAUCUGCCAAUGGGAGAAAAUCUGUGCAAAUCCAGUAACUGACGAGGGAUUAAUCUCCAAAAUACACAAAUAUCUCACACAGCUUUACCAAAAAAAACAAAUAACCUAGUUAAAAAAAUGGUCAGAAGAUCUAAACAGACAUUUCACCAAAGAAGACAGACAGAUGGCCAGAAAUCACAUGAAAAGAUAUUCAACAUCACUAAUUAUUAGAGAAAUGGAAAUCAAAACUACAGUGAAGUAUCACAACACACUUCACAAUGGCCAUCAUCAAAAGGUCUACAGGAGUUCCCGUCGUGGCUCAGUGCUUAACGAAUCCGUCUAGGAACCAUGAGGUUGAGGGUUCAGUCCCUGCCCUUGCUCAGUGGGUUGACCAUCCGGCGUUGCUGUGAGCUGUGGUGUAGGUUGCAGACGCGGCUCGGAUCCCACGUUGCUGUGGCUCUGGCGUAGGCUGGUGGCUACAGCUCCGAUUUGAUCCCUAGCCUGGAAACCUCCAUAUGCCACGGGAGUGGCCCAAGAAAUAGCAAAAAAAAAAAAAAAAAAAAAAAAAAAGUCUACAAACAAUAAAGGCUGGAGAGGGUGUGGAGAAAGGGAAAACUUACACUAUCGGUGGGAAUAUAAGCUGGUACAAUCACUAUGGAGAAUAGUAUGUAGGCUCCUUAAAAAACUAAGUAUAGAAUUACCAUACGACCCAGUAAUCUCACUCCUGGGCAUAUACCCAGAGAAUACAAACCGGUAUUCCACACUCCUAUGUUCAUCGCAGCAUUACUUACAAUAGCCAAGGCUAGGAAGCAACCUAAAUGUCCAUAAACAGAGGGUUGGAGGGAGUGCCACUGUGGUGCAAUGGGUUAAUGAUCCAGUUUGUCUCUGUUGAGGUGCUGGUUUGAUCCCCAGCCUGGCACAGUAGGUUAAGGAUCCAGUGCUGCUGCAGCUGUGACAGAGGUUGCAGCUCCAGCUUGAUCCCAUCCUUGGCCUGGGAAUUCCAUAUGCCGCAGGUGCAGUAAAAAAAAAAAAAAAGUAUUGGAUAAAGAAGAUGUGGUACAUAUGUAUAAUGGAAUACUAUUUAACCAUAAAAAUCAUGAGAUAAUGUCAUUUGCAGCAACAUGGGUGGACCUAGAAAUGAUCAUACCAAGUGAAAUAUGUCAAAGACAAGAAUCAUAUGAGAUCACUAAUAUAUGGAAGCUAAUAAAAAUGAUACAAAGAACUUAUGAACCAGAGACACAGUCAAAGAUUUUGAAACCAUAUUUAUGGUUACCAAAGGAGAAAUGGGGGUGGGGGAUAAAUUAUGGGGUUAGAAUUGACAUAUACAUACUACUAUAUAUAAAAUAGAUAGGUAACAAGUACCUACUGCCUACUAUAUAGCACCAGGAUUUCUACUCAUUAUUUUUAAUAACCUAUAAGGGAAAAGAAUCUGAAAAGGAAUGGAUAUAUGUAUAUGUAUAACUGAUCUACUUUGCUGGACACCUAUAACUAACACAAAUUUGUAAGUCAACUAUAUUCCAAUAAAAUUUAUUAAAAUAAAUCUGCCAAUGAAUGGAUGCACAAUGAUCAAUCUGGUCACUAGAAAUGUCCAAAUACAUUAUUUUCAUUUUAGAGUCAUAACCCACAGUGCAGUGAGGCAGAAGAAACCUGAGCUACCAGCUAUCUUUUGAAACUUUCAAUUAAGUUUUGAUUUGUGUCCAGGUGUCCUAUAUUUUAGUGUUGUCCAUGUCCACUGCAAUUUCAAGACAACUACAUAUUGGUAGCAAUGUAUAAUUACAGUUUAAAUAAAAUCUCCUGGGAGAUGGUCUGCUGAGCUUGGGGUAGGAGGUAUUGGAAUCUACUAACAAAAUCUAAAAACUAAGAUACAACAAAAUGUCUUAUGAAUGUUUCAGUGGCAUACAAAGGGUAUACUCCAGGUAAAAUCUGUAGAGAAAAGAGGUUUUCUUAAUUAAAUAGCUUUCUUAAUUAAAGUUAAACCAUAAAAUUCCUUUUAGCAAGGAAAAUGCAAAUUUUUCUUUGAAUAUUUUCAAAGAAAAUGCAGGUAAAAUGAAUAUCUUAGAAGUAAAUGAAUCUGAAUCCUAAAAUACCAUAGAAAAAAAGGCUCAAGCUGUGAUAUUUUUAGAGUUAAUGUUAAGCUAAAUUGUGUCCUUUUAGGAUACUUAUUAACUGACAUCAUAAAAAGAAACAAGGGUCACAUCCCUCUUUUAAUGUUUAUAAUAUAGUUUCUACCACUUACUUUGCACCUGACAUUGUGUCUCAUAUUAAUUUAUUUAGGAUGUGAUCAUUUGACUGUCUGGGGUUUGUAUUAUUACAUAUUAUUAGAGUAAAAAUGAUCACUUAUUUUUAACUCAGAAAACCAGGAACAAAGUUAUCUUUAAAGGUAGAAUAAAGUAAAUGACAACAUAGCUGGAAAGGAAUGGAAGUGUAUUGGUAGUAAAGUGUACUUUUGCUUUUCCUUUCUCCUUCUCUUAUACUUCAUAGAAUAAAGGAUAUAAAAUAUGCAGUGAAAGAUACAUCAACAUUGAUACAAAAGAAACAAAGCACUUAACAAGAGUAAUAAGAAUAUAACUUUGUAUGGUGGGAAAUUUGAAGCUAGAAAUGUGACAGAUGCUUCCAGAUAAGAGAACAAUUUUUCAUAAUUCCAAUGGCCUUAAACAAUGCAUUUCUUCAUUAAGAAAUGCAUGCUUUUCCUUGAAGGAGUCUUGGUUUCUAAGAAUAAUCUUAAAUGUAUACAUGAAAAAAAAAAUAUUGAUUUUUCCCACUCCUUCUCAUUCUCUUCCCAUUUAAUUUUUGACUUGACCCAUUUAAUUUUUCUCCAUUCUCUAGUCACUCAGAAAGAGUUCUUCCAU